AGCGAACGCUGGCGGCAGGCCUAACACAUGCAAGUCGAACGAACCUUUCGGGGUUAGUGGCGGACGGGUGAGUAACACGUGGGAACGUGCCUUUAGGUUCGGAAUAACUCAGGGAAACUUGUGCUAAUACCGAAUGUGCCCUUCGGGGGAAAGAUUUAUCGCCUUUAGAGCGGCCCGCGUCUGAAUAGCUAGUUGGUUGAGGUAAUGGCUCACCAAGGCGACGAUCAGUAGCUGGUCUGAGAGGAUGAUCAGCCACAUUGGGACUGAGACACGGCCCAAACUCCUACGGGAGGCAGCAGUGGGGAAUCUUGCGCAAUGGGCGAAAGCCUGACGCAGCCAUGCCGCGUGAAUGAUGAAGGUCUUAGGAUUGUAAAAUUCUUUCACCGGGGACGAUAAUGACGGUACCCGGAGAAGAAGCCCCGGCUAACUUCGUG
Molecule: ribosomal RNA, 434 nt
Filed under: uncultured bacterium
Lineage: Bacteria
Description: partial 16S ribosomal RNA
Rfam family: Bacterial small subunit ribosomal RNA
Source: RNAcentral